RNAcentral lists this non-coding RNA (113 nucleotides) under Tangfeifania diversioriginum. RNAcentral describes it as "SAM-I sequence". It matches the Rfam family "SAM riboswitch aptamer (S box leader)". Rfam says of the family: The SAM riboswitch is found upstream of a number of genes which code for proteins involved in methionine or cysteine biosynthesis in Gram-positive bacteria. The SAM riboswitch acts at the level of transcription termination control. The record is from Rfam by way of RNAcentral. Lineage: Bacteria; Pseudomonadati; Bacteroidota; Bacteroidia; Marinilabiliales; Prolixibacteraceae.
UGAUUAUACAGAAGAGUGGAGAGAUCGGGCUCUGUGAAACUCUGGCAACCAACCGUCUGUCGGAUGACGGAUGACAAGGUGCCAAUACCCGGCCGGAAACGGAAUUAUAAUUG